UACAGAGGUCCCGAGCGUUGUUCGGAUUCAUUGGGCGUAAAGGGUGCGUAGGUGGCGCCAUAAGUCAGGUGUGAAAUCUCGGGGCUCAACCCCGAAACUGCACUUGAUACUGUGGUGCUCGAGUACUGGAGAGGAGAUUGGAAUUUACGGUGUAGCAGUGAAAUUCGUAGAUAUCAAGCGGAACACCGGUGGCGAAGGCGGCCUUCUGGACAGUGACUGACGCUGAGACACGAAAGCGUGGGGAGCAAACAGG
Molecule: ribosomal RNA, 253 nt
Filed under: uncultured prokaryote
Description: partial 16S ribosomal RNA
Rfam family: Bacterial small subunit ribosomal RNA
Source: RNAcentral